This 745-nucleotide ribosomal RNA is filed under the name uncultured prokaryote. RNAcentral's name for it is "bacterial SSU rRNA". It matches the Rfam family "Bacterial small subunit ribosomal RNA", at positions 688 to 1430 of the family's 1533-position model. The record is from RNAcentral.
GCGUAGAUAUCAGAAGGAACAUCAAUGGCGAAGGCAGCUUUCUGGACUAAUACUGACACUGAGGUACGAAAGCGUGGGUAGCAAACAGGAUUAGAUACCCUGGUAGUCCACGCCGUAAAACGAUGACAACUAGCCGUUGGGGGGAUUUUGCCCUUUAGUGGCGAAGCUAACGCGUUAAGUUGUCCGCCUGGGGAGUACGGCCGCAAGGUUAAAACUCAAAGGAAUUGACGGGGACCCGCACAAGCGGUGGAGCAUGUGGUUUAAUUCGAUGCAACGCGAAGAACCUUACCUGGUCUUGACAUACACGGAACUUUCCAGAGAUGGAUUGGUGCCUUCGGGAACCGUGAUACAGGUGCUGCAUGGCUGUCGUCAGCUCGUGUCGUGAGAUGUUGGGUUAAGUCCCGUAACGAGCGCAACCCCUAUCCUUAUUUGCCAGCACAUCAUGGUGGGAACUAUAAGGAGACUGCCGGUGAUAAGCCGGAGGAAGGCGGGGACGACGUCAAGUCAUCAUGGCCCUUACGACCAGGGCUACACACGUGCUACAAUGGGAAGAACAAAGAGUUGCGAAGCCGCGAGGUGUAGCUAAUCUCACAAAUCUUUUCGUAGUCCGGAUCGGAGUCUGCAACUCGACUCCGUGAAGUCGGAAUCGCUAGUAAUCGUAGAUCAGAACGCUACGGUGAAUACGUUCCCGGGUCUUGUACACACCGCCCGUCAUACCAUGGGAGUGGGUUGCACCAGAAGUAGC